UACGUAGGGUGCGAGCGUUGUCCGGAAUUAUUGGGCGUAAAGAGCUCGUAGGCGGUCUGUCGCGUCGGAUGUGAAAACUCGGGGCUCAACCCCGAGCCUGCAUUCGAUACGGGCAGACUAGAGUUCGGUAGGGGAGACUGGAAUUCCUGGUGUAGCGGUGAAAUGCGCAGAUAUCAGGAGGAACACCGGUGGCGAAGGCGGCCUUCUGGGGCAUUCCUGACACUGAGAAGCGAAAGCUAGGGGAGCAAACAGG
This 253-nucleotide ribosomal RNA is filed under the name uncultured bacterium. RNAcentral describes it as "partial 16S ribosomal RNA". It matches the Rfam family "Bacterial small subunit ribosomal RNA", at positions 524 to 776 of the family's 1533-position model. The record is from RNAcentral.